UUCAGAAAGUACACAAAUCUGUAAAUUGUGAUGGGUGAAGAAAGGUUUAAUCUUUCAUGUAAGCUUAUGAAUACAACUGCUUUAAAUGUGUUGGAAAAAUAUGUGCUGCUUUGCUUUUUGGUGAAAUUUGUCAUUUUCAGAUGUGGCUGCUUCUGACAAAAUUCCCUAAAUAUUGCUCCCCAGUUUUAGAAACUGGAUGUUUUUGAAGGGAGUGCCUGCUUUCUGCAAAUGAGCAGUUACAAAAUAUGGAAUAUAAUUGGUUACUGUUUAAAUCUAAAAUAACACAGGACAAACAACAAUCUUGCAAAACACCAAACAGCUCAAUAUUUGUGUCUCACGUCAUGAACCGCAAUCUGUAAUUUAGUUAAAGACCCCCCUCAUGAAUCUUUACAAAAAUUAUAAAAUGUGGUUUGGAUCAUCGGUGCAGUCUCAUGUAAGGGAAACUGUGUUUGGUUUAAAAUAAGGAAUGAAAGUUUAUGGAGAUACCUAUAUUUCCGUGGUCUGGAAGUUUUUGGAUAGGCAAGUCCAUGUCACUUGGAGGGAUUUCAAGAUUUUUUUUAUAUUCGAUGUGUUAAAUGUUUACAAUGAUUCGCUGAACUUUGCACAAAAUUAUGUCUUAUUCAACCAUGAUUAUGCACAUCUGUUGGUGUGUUCAACCCACAUUUCAAAUCACUAUCCUAAAGCACCAUCAAUAAUUAUUCAGUGAAGUAUGAGAUUACAAUGCUGCAGAUACCAAAACCCUGAACCCUGAAAUAAAGACAGAAUCUUGGGAACGGUUCAUGCUUAGUUCUAGAGGGAAAUGUACAAUAUUUGAAGAAGUUGUUUCUCCAGAUGUUGCCUGGCCUAUAAGUAACUCUAGCAUUUCUGUUCUUUUCUUGGGAAAACUGAUCUCCACGUUAACUUUAUCAACAAUUGGCUGACAUAACUUGAAUCAAAAAUAUGAAGCAGCUCCAACCAGUAUCAUUCCCAUUACUGAAAGCUUCACUGCAUUUCCACAUUCUCUUUUCUUGGCUGAGUGUUGCCAUUUGCAGUUGUGUCCUAGCCUAUCCAAUUUCAAUAUUGCUUUACUCAGACACCUUCAUCUCAUAGACCUGCUUAUAUUUAAAAAAACAUUUUAUCUUAAAAUUUCUAAUUUCUUACCUCAAUGAUAAUUGUACAGUUUAACAAGUUUACAAGCCACCAAUUGUGCCCAAUUACUUAAGUAAAAAUAUAAUUUGCUUUUGAAAGUAUAAAAAGUUCUGAACAAUCAUAAUGAACCUGAGAACAAGCAGGAAGAAUUGUUAUACUUUUUGAGUUUUCUUCUGAUUACUCCUUGUACAGUUUCCAAAGGGAUUGCAGCAUUUUGGCAAGUGAGUUCUCCAAAUUAGGCAAUAGGGUUUGUACACUCUGGAAACAUUUUUUUUUAUUUUAUAAAAUUUUUAAUUGAAUUUUCAAAUAGGUUACAGAAGGAAUUUUUUUUUAAUUAUCAACCCUUCCCCCUCCCCCCUAACAUUUCCCUAUAGAAAGAGAGAAGAAGAAAAAAGAAAGAAAGAAAGAAAGAAUGCCUGGAUAUCGGAAGAUCCCCACAUGCUCCAUGGAGUUCAUAAUAGCUUUAGUAUAUAUAUUUAUUUAUUUCCCCAGAUAACCAAUAAUUUUAUCUUCGGAGCACCUAUAUAUUUAAUCCUAUCUUUUGUAAAUAAGGGUGCCAAAUUUUCAGAAAUAUUUUAUAUUUAUCUCUUAAAUUAUAAGUAAUUUUUUCAAGUGGAAUGCAGCUAAAAAUUUCAUUGUUCCAACGAUCUAUACUUAAGUAUGAAUCUGAUUUCCAAGUAACUGCAAUAGCCUUUUUGGCUACUGCCAAUGCAAUUUUUAUGAAUUCUUUCUGAUAUUUAUUCAGUUUGGAUUUCAGUUUUAUCCCUUCAAUAUCACCUGAUAAAAAUAAUGUUGGAUUAUGUGGAAGUUGUGUUCCAAUAAUUUGUUCUAAUAAAAUUCUUAAAUUUGUCCAAAAAGGUUGAAUUUUAAAACAAGACCAAGUAGAAUGUAAAAAAGUACCAAUUUCUUGAUUACAUCGGAAACAUUGAUCAGAUAAAUUUGGGUUUAAUUUAUUUAUUUCUUGUGGUGUAAUAUAUAAUUGAUGUAAAAAAUUAUAUUGCACUAAUCUUAACCAGACAUUUGUUGUAUUUGUCGUACUGUCAAGACAUAUUCUUGACCAACUUGUUUCUUCAAUAUUAAUAUUCAAAUCAGUUGCCCAUUUUUGUCUUGACUUAUGAACUCCUUGUUUAAUUGCCUGUUUUUGAAUCAAACUAUACAUACAAGAAAUAAUUUUUAAAAUUUUUCCUUUUUGAAUUAAAGUUUCUAUUUCAUUAGGUUUUGGCAAUAACAUUGUUUGACCCAAAGAGUGUUGUUUGAUAUUUUGUAUUUAUUCUUUAAUUGAUCAAAUGACAUUAAUAUACCUCCUUCAAAACAAUCUCCUAUAUAUCUAAUCCCUUUUUGAAACCAAUUGUAUAAAAGUUGGUUAUCCAUUGGAUCCAUCCGUUGGUUAUCUGGAAACAUUUGUAAGGAUUUCAGUGUUUGGUGAGAUGGAGAGGUCUAUCUGCAGAUAUUUUUGCUGGUUAACAUUGCACAAUCUGCUUUUAACUAACCUCACAUCAUUCACCAUCUUUGGGUGUUGAUUGUGGCUCAAUUGAUAACUUUAAGAUGUUUCAGUUUUCCAGCUUAGCUGUUUAGUGCAGUGUGCCAUCUAGUGUUGUUAAAUGGGCACACCAGUCCGACCAUCUGUUCAGUGGAAGGAAAUAAAUCCCACUGCAUAAAUUCAUUAAUGCUGCUUCCACUUUAUGAGAUAGUACACUGAUGAUUCCUUGUGUUAGCCACAAGGAAGCUUGUGAAUGCUGAGCUGAAAACAUUGCUUAGGUAAAAACAGUGACUUGAAAUUGCAUUAUAGUUCAGAAAAUUAAUCUUAAAACUUGCACAGCUCUCAUUAUUCUACAUUGCUACUACUUUGGAAAGUAACUUUUAGAUAUAGUAAAAAUCUCCUUUAUCUUUCAUUUAUAAUUUUGAAUUAUUGUUAUAACUAUUAGUGAAUAGUAAAAGGCUUUAAAGAAAUUAAUAUCCUUAUUUCUGAACAGCACUUUCAAUGAAGUGCCAAACAUGGGUCUUGUACUGAGAGACUGCACAUCAAAUUUGGAUACACCUACAAGCAUAAGAUUAAUUAUCCAUCUAUCAAUAAUUUCUAGUCCGUGCUUGUUUUCUGGCUCCUAAAUGGCAGAGCGACUGGGGUAGCUCUGUCUCAUUUGUAGUUUAACUGGACCCAUCCUAUCACUGCCCCCUGUAAGAGACAGUUAGAGUACCAGCAUAUUUGGUUCUGGAUUUUGCAUCAAAAAAUAUAUUCUUAUAGCCUCUCAUGUUGUUGAGUGCAAGUGAGUCAUUGUUGACUCAUAGCGACCCUAUGGAUAUUGUAGUUGUCCGUAGGAUUUUCAUGAGGUACCGAAGUAGAUGGCCAGGUCUUUCCUCUGCACAGAUACUGCUGUAGCCCAGCUUGGACUCAAGCUCAGGACCGUCUGCCUUGAAGUCCAGUGCUGAUGCCACUACACCACCAGCUGGCCCACAGCCUCCCAUACAGUACUUCAAAAUAAUGGAAUAGCAGAGCACACUUGAUGCACUAAAUGGCCUAAUUACGUUCCUAUAUCUUACAGUCUAAAUAGAUUAUUGAUUUGUAAUCAGAAGCUCCCAAUGAAUUCUUGUUGUUUAUCAGUUCAGACAAGUUUUAUUUACUAAGAACUUUCACCUCUAUUCAUCUCUUUAUUACAAAGAUUGAGUAAAAACAAUUACUUUUUAUUAUUUCAUCACACUUCUAUCCCAUUUCUACUGAAAUUUUCCUAUAAUUUAAAUAGCUAGCAUAUUAGUUAACCGUCAAAAGUGUUUAUGCAGAUAAAAAUGACAUUAACUUAGCAUGUUAUAUCAAAAACUUAAGUCUAUUUUUAUUUCAUUUGUAUAUUUUUCUGGAAGAAGUAAUAUGUUAAAGCGCUGAUGAUGUGAAACUCUGCUCAGUCAAGUGGUAAAUAUUGGGUAUUAUUUCCCUGGAUUUUGAAUUGUUAAAGCCUGUAAGCUAGUUGCCCAUAAUUGGCAUUAGAUCUGGCUCUUCACACAGUCUUUGACUACCUGGACAAUGCAAACUCCUAUGUCAGGAUGCUGAUCGUCAACUAUAGCUCAGCAUUUAACACCAUCGUUCCCACAAUCCUGAUUGAUAAGUUACAUAAACUGGGCCUCUUUACCUCCCUCUGCAAUUGGAUCCUCGACUUCCUAACUGGAAGACCACAAUCUGUGUAGAUUGGUGAUAAUAUCUCCUCCUCACUGAUGAUCAACACUGGCAUACCUCAGCGGUGGCUCUACUCUCCCUAUACCCAUGACUGUGUGGUUAGGCAUAGCUCAAAUACCAUCUAUAAAUUUGCUGAUGAUGCAAUCAUUGUUGAUAGAAUCUCAGAUGGAGACAAGAGGGUGUUCAGCAGCAAGAUAUACCAACUAGUGGAGUGGUGUCACAGCAACAACUUUGGACUCAAUGUCAGUAAGUUGAAAGAGCUGAUUGUGGACUUCAGGAUGGGUAAAAUGAAGGAACACAUACCAAUCCUCAUAGAAGGAUCAGAAAUGGAGAGAGUGAGCAUUUUCAAGUUCCUGGCUGACAAGAUCUCUGAGGACCUAAUCUGGUACCAACAUUGAUCCAGCUAUAAAGAAGGCAAGACAAUGACUACAUUAGGAGUUUGAAGGGAUUUGGUAUGCCAACAAAAGCACUCAAAAACUUCUAUAGAUGUACCGUGGUGAGUAUUCUGAUAGGUUGCAUCACUGUCUGCUAUGGAGGGGCUACAGCAUAGGACCAAAAGAAGCUACAGAGGAUUGUAAAUAUUGUCAGCUUCAUCUUGGCUACUAGCCUACAAAGUACCCAGGACAUCUUCAAGGAGUGGUAUCUCAGAAAGGCAGUGUGUAUUAUUAAGGACCCCCAGCACCCAGGCAUGCCCUUUUCUCACUGCUACCAUCAGGUAGGAGAUACAGAAGCCUGAAGGCACACACCCAAUGAUUCAGGAACAGCUUCUUCCCCUCUGCCAUCCAAUUCCUAAAUGGACAUUGAACCCCUGAACACUACCCCUCCUACUUUCAAAUCUCCUACUAUCUUUUCUUUCAGUUAGUCCUCACGAAGGGUCUCAGCCCAAAACAUCGACAGUGCUUCUCCCUAUAGAUGCUGCCUGGCCUGCUGCGUUCCACCAGCAUUUUGUGUGUGUUGUCCGGAGAUGAUAAAGCUGAUUCUGAUUCUGAGAUUUUGUCCACUCAGGAAAAAAAACUGUAAAACUCACAGAUGUCGAGCGAAGUGUGGAGGAUUAACUAGAGAUACUCAAAGUCAAAGUUGAGGGUAUAGUCAAAAGCACAAGUACGUGCAUGACAAGUGCAAUGAAAACCCUAUCUGCAGCGGCAUCGCAGGCAUAUAACGUCAAAUAAGCAACAUUCCAGAGAAAUAUAUAAAUUAGACAUAAGUUAUACAAAUUUUCACAAGAAGGAAAACAAUUAGCACAAAAAAAAGCAAAGUCUUUUUUAGUGCAAAGUGAUCAAAGUGGCCUUAGAGCUGCCGAACGGUAGUGUUCGGGUUAACAUUGCACUUUGCUUUCACCAGUUGAGGUAUCAUUUAGCAUCUUUGGAUGUUGAUUGCAACUUGGUUGCCAUAACUAGCGUUUCAAAACUGCUUAGUCGCUGUAUAUCUAUUGUGUUUGCCACCUCAAGGCAUGUUCGUCUUUGAAUUUUACACUUACCUUUCUCGAUAGAACGUGACAGGACUGGGAAUUCUCAUCUAACAUCAAUCUAUAACGUCAUCCAGCUGAAAUGGACAACAGAAGAGGAUUCUGCAGUGUAAUUUAGUGAACAGGAGAUGGAGAGAGAAGAUGCCUGAAAGGACUGGACUUGGAGUGGGGCCGGGAGUUGAUGAAGCCCUGAGAAUUCAAUGGAGAAUCAGUGUGGUGAACUACAUAUACCUGUCUGGACAUGCCCCCCCCCCCUCCGCUGACUGCUCCUGUGGAUCCUCCCAAAGACCCCUGUAUAAAGGCGAUUGAAGGCACUGCUCCUCCCUCAGUCUCCAGGAUGUUGUGUGGUGGGCUCUUGCUGAUGGUGCUUUCUUCCAGCUAAUAAAAGCCUACCUUGACUCACAUCUCCGAGAGUUAUUGAUGGUGAAUCAAUCAGCAAAGGGGAAAGGUGAGCUCCAACUUGUGCAUAUUAGUGGUUCAUUUAAAUGGCUCUUUUAUUUUCUUUACUAACCCUUUAGUCAAAUUAAGAACUAUAAAGGUAAAUUGUUUACUUGUA
Hypanus sabinus (Atlantic stingray) is the source of this 6312-nucleotide long non-coding RNA. RefSeq lists it as uncharacterized. The record is from RefSeq and is a predicted model, not a curated record. The transcript is spliced from 2 exons. Lineage: Eukaryota; Metazoa; Chordata; Chondrichthyes; Myliobatiformes; Dasyatidae.